AGCCAUCUGCCGGAGAAAGGUACAUCUGAUUUAAAUGGGCUCAUUUGUAUUGCUAAGUCAAUUCACAAGUGGAAAUUUACUCAUGUGACCUCGAACAGCUGAACAUACUGAUAUCGUACUCUUGCAACCUUUCUCUGGCUAUAAAAGAAGUAUCCAAGGAAAGCCACGAACAUUUUAUCAUACUUUUGACAUCAAUCUUGUAAAAGAUGAAAGUUCUAAUUAGCCUCUUUGUAGUUCUCGGCUUUACCCUAGCUGUGGUGGUUGCCCAGAAAAAACUUCCUUUCUGUGGAUUGAACGAAAAGCAAAUGGAGGUUUUUGCAAUAUGCUGGCGAGAGAAAAAUUCCGAGGCGUUUAUGAACAAGUAUGAUGAGUGUAAAAACCGAUAUUUUCCGGAUUACACUGACGCUGCGGUCGCCACAAUUGC
Long non-coding RNA from Limulus polyphemus (Atlantic horseshoe crab), 424 nucleotides. RefSeq lists it as uncharacterized. The record is from RefSeq and is a predicted model, not a curated record. Lineage: Eukaryota; Metazoa; Arthropoda; Merostomata; Xiphosura; Limulidae. The transcript is spliced from 4 exons.